RNAcentral lists this transfer RNA (74 nucleotides) under Pleuronectes platessa (European plaice). It matches the Rfam family "tRNA". From Rfam's summary of the family: Transfer RNA (tRNA) molecules are approximately 80 nucleotides in length. Their secondary structure includes four short double-helical elements and three loops (D, anti-codon, and T loops). The record is from Rfam by way of RNAcentral. Lineage: Eukaryota; Metazoa; Chordata; Actinopteri; Pleuronectiformes; Pleuronectidae.
GGUGCUGUGGCUUUGUUGGUCAAAGCGCCUGUUUAGUAAACAGGACAUCCUGGGUUCGAAUUCCAGCAGUGUCU